CACCCAACAGCUAGCCCAACCACCAACUCAUAAACCCCCACUAUAUAUAAACCUAAACACACUACCCCAAACAAACAAACCAUUUUUCCCCCUAAGUAUGGGCGACAAAAAAGGACCCAGGAGCAAUAGAAAAAGUACCGCAAGGGAAAGCUGAAAGAGUAAUGAAACAACCCAGUUAAGUAGUAAAAAGCAGAGACCUCCUCUCGUACCUUUUGCAUCAUGGUUUAGCUAGAAUAUUUUAAGCAAAAAGAAUUAUAGUUUAACACCCCGAAACUAGACGAGCUACUCCAAGACAGUCUAACUUAUAGGACCCCCCCGUCUCUGUGGCAAAAGAGUGGGAAGAGCUUUGAGUAGAGGUGAAAGACCUACCGAGCCUAGUUAUAGCUGGUUGCCUGAGAAAUGAAUAGAAGUUCAGCCCCUUAAGUUCUCAACCCCCUUUUGGCUUAAAGGCCUUUACACCGAACAAGAGAAUUCCAAGGGAGUUAGUCAAAGGGGGUACAGCCCCUUUGACAUAAGACACAACUUUUCCAGGAGGGUAAGGAUCAUAGGCAAAUAAAGGUUAAAUACCCCAGUGGGCUUAAAAGCAGCCAUCUAUCCAGAAAGCGUUAAAGCUCAAGUAUAGACUAACCCCUUCAAAUAAAGACAAUAUAAUCUCACCCCCCUAAUAUCUACCAGGCCGCCCCAUAAAAAAAUAUGGGGGUGUACAUGCUAAUAUGAGUAAUAAGAGAAGCACCCCUUCUCUCCCCGCACAAGUGUAAGUCGGAACGAACCCCCGCCGAACAUUAACGGCCCCAAAGUCAAAGAGGGGACUAAACAAGAAAUAAAUAACUAGAAAACCACCUAACACCCCACCGUUAACCCUACACUGGUGUGCUAACCGGGAAAGACUAAAGGAAAAAGAAGGAACUCGGCAAACACAAGCCUCGCCUGUUUACCAAAAACACCGCCUCUUGUACACCAAAAAUAAGAGGUCCCGCCUGCCCUGUGACUGUAA
This 994-nucleotide ribosomal RNA is filed under the name Tylochromis sp. J46. RNAcentral describes it as "partial 16S ribosomal RNA". The stretch from base 188 to 994 matches the Rfam family "Bacterial large subunit ribosomal RNA", at positions 568 to 1875 of the family's 2925-position model. The record is from RNAcentral. Lineage: Eukaryota; Metazoa; Chordata; Actinopteri; Cichliformes; Cichlidae.